ACGCUAUUCGUAUGAUGGCUAUGUAAACCGUAUAUUCUUUUGUAUGAUUUUAUUUUAAAUUAGGAACCUUGAAUCUCAGAUAUUUUAGGGUACGUAAGCUUAUGAACAGUGUGGAUCGACUACCUGACAGUCAUAGAAACAUAACAAAAUAUUAUAUUAUGUCUGUAUAAAAUUGAACUGUAUUUCCCUAAAGUAUAUAUAAUAUUUUUUAAAAAAAUUAAUUGUAG
Non-coding RNA from Cinara cedri, 227 nucleotides. The record is from the annotation of a GenBank genome assembly. Lineage: Eukaryota; Metazoa; Arthropoda; Insecta; Hemiptera; Aphididae.